GGAUUUCAUUUCACUGUUAUUGUUGAGGUUUUGAGGCCUUGUAUGCCUACUUGGUUUCGGCCUUCUAGGUGUACGGCCGUUUGUCGGCGUCCCUGGUCCAUAGAGCUGGGUUCGGGGCGUGACACCUCACUUUUUUCCUGGUCUGGUCGAGUCAGCCCCCCACUCACGUGAUGGCAUAAACCCUUGGCCACGCGUCGGGCAAGCCUCUCUUCAACGGUUGCAUCAGCUGCAGCUUCUUUCCCACCAACCCACCGAGAAACGAAGGGGAAGAGUGGUUUUUAUGUGAAGAGAGGAGGGUUUCGGUGAAGAAAAGAGGAUUUCUUAGGGUUUCUGCGCCGAUGAGAGGAUUUCAUCGCGCCGAGGAGAGGGUUUUCUCGGUAGAGAUGAGGGUUUUCUUAGAGGGUUGAAAGUGGCCAGAAGAUUGUUUCAGUGUAGAGAAAGAGGGUCUAUUGGAGGGUUAUAGUGCCGAAAAGAGGGUUUCUUCAGUGUAGAGAGUGAAAAAUCGGGUGCUACUGAGGGAGGUGUAGGCAAAAUGGCGGUUAACUGGGAAAGACGACAAGAGGGAGAAGAUGCACCAGAAUAUUGUGAGUGCUCUCUUCGAAAGCCCUGAUUCCUCGUACUUUUCUUGAAAAUCCUUUGCUAUGAAAAUGAUGGAAAUGUUAUUUUUCAUCUAAAGUUGAUAUGAAAUAUGUCUUUAAAUCCCUUUUUUGUUUACAUCGGCAUGCUCUGGAAAGGAAAG
Dioscorea cayenensis subsp. rotundata (Guinea yam) is the source of this 739-nucleotide long non-coding RNA. RefSeq lists it as uncharacterized. NCBI's taxonomy places the organism in Eukaryota, Viridiplantae, Streptophyta, Magnoliopsida, Dioscoreales, Dioscoreaceae. The record is from RefSeq and is a predicted model, not a curated record. The transcript has 3 exons.